CAGUCGAGCGAGCGGAACCAACAGAUUUACUUCGGUAAUGACGUUGGGAAAGCGAGCGGCGGAUGGGUGAGUAACACGUGGGGAACCUGCCCCUAAGUCUGGGAUACCAUUUGGAAACAGGCGCUAAUACCGGAUAAUAAAGCAGAUCGCAUGAUCAGCUUUUGAAAGGCGGCGUAAGCUGUCGCUAAGGGAUGGCCCCGCGGUGCAUUAGCUAGUUGGUAAGGUAACGGCUUACCAAGGCGACGAUGCAUAGCCGAGUUGAGAGACUGAUCGGCCACAUUGGGACUGAGACACGGCCCAAACUCCUACGGGAGGCAGCAGUAGGGAAUCUUCCACAAUGGACGCAAGUCUGAUGGAGCAACGCCGCGUGAGUGAAGAAGGUUUUCGGAUCGUAAAGCUCUGUUGUUGGUGAAGAAGGAUAGAGGUAGUAACUGGCCUUUAUUUGACGGUAAUCAACCAGAAAGUCACGGCUAACUACGUGCCAGCAGCCGCGGUAAUACGUAGGUGGCAAGCGUUGUCCGGAUUUAUUGGGCGUAAAGCGAGCGCAGGCGGAAAAAUAAGUCUAAUGUGAAAGCCCUCGGCUUAACCGAGAAACUGCAUCGGAAACUGUUUUUCUUGAGUGCAGAAGAGGAGAGUGGAACUCCAUGUGUAGCGGUGGAAUGCGUAGAUAUAUGGAAGAACACCAGUGGCGAAGGCGGCUCUCUGGUCUGCAACUGACGCUGAGGCUCGAAAGCAUGGGUAGCGAACAGGAUUAGAUACCCUGGUAGUCCAUGCCGUANACGAUGAGUGCUAAGUGUUGGGAGGUUUCCGCCUCUCAGUGCUGCAGCUAACGCAUUAAGCACU
Molecule: ribosomal RNA, 843 nt
Filed under: uncultured bacterium
Lineage: Bacteria
Description: bacterial SSU rRNA
Rfam family: Bacterial small subunit ribosomal RNA
Source: RNAcentral